GCUUGGGAGCCAGUCAGGAGUACGUCAUACGUACUUCGAAAUGAUACCUAUUUGAAAUGAAAGUGAUGGGCCACAGCAUGUUCGGAAUAAUAUUCCGAAGCCGGCCAUAAGUUGGACCAGCUUGAAUUGGUUGGAUAAAGGCAGUUACCCAUUUUCCAGUGCCAAAAUCAUACAAACGGAUUCUUGGACAAACCGCGCGCAUGGGUAACAUUUAAACAUUCAAAUGUGUAUCCAAUUAUUCAAAUCCAAUCCAAAUGCCAAUGAAGUUGGGGAUAAUUUAACGGAGAUAAAUUAACCAAAUUUUAACACACAGCUUGGUAAAAAGCUAGUGGCUUAUCUAAUAUAAAACCGACCUCAGUUCCGAUGAUUGUUUUCAAAGCAGUAGAUAAGACAAAUCAACGACCAAUUUAACGAAAUGAACUCAGCAAAAUAAUAGCUUUGAAAGUUGUUAAUGUCUAUAUAAUCAGCCUUCAAUUGAAAUCAUUUAGGCUAGUCUGAAUUUUACUUUAUACUAGAGUAACCUACUAUUCUGGGCGAUGUUAUUACAUAUUGCUGAUAAAACAUCAUUUAAUUUUUGGGGCACACUUACUUGUAAGUCAAUACGAUCUGCGCAAUUUCUC
Molecule: non-coding RNA, 620 nt
Organism: Drosophila melanogaster (fruit fly)
Lineage: Eukaryota; Metazoa; Arthropoda; Insecta; Diptera; Drosophilidae
Source: Ensembl